Non-coding RNA from Gossypium arboreum, 107 nucleotides. The record is from Rfam. Lineage: Eukaryota; Viridiplantae; Streptophyta; Magnoliopsida; Malvales; Malvaceae.
AUCCCAUGAUGAGGAAACUUACGAAGUAACUCUUUGAAUUGCUCCCAAACCUCAUACAAAUACUCGUCAUCCAAUUGUUGGAAAGUUGUGAUCAAGUUCAUCACCUU